GGCGAACUGUGCAAACGUUAUUCGGAAUCACUGGGCUUGAAGAGUGCGUAGGCGGUUUCGUAAGUAGGGUGUGAAAGCCCCCAGCUCAACUGGGGAACUGCGUCCUAAACUGCGAGGCUGGAGUGAGGUAGGGGUGUGUGGAACUUCCGGUGGAGCGGUGAAAUGUGUUGAUAUCGGAAGGAACGCCGGUGGCGAAAGCGACACACUGGGCCUUGUCUGACGCUGAGGCACGAAAGCCAGGGGAGCAAACGGG
This 253-nucleotide ribosomal RNA is filed under the name uncultured bacterium. RNAcentral's name for it is "partial 16S ribosomal RNA". It matches the Rfam family "Bacterial small subunit ribosomal RNA", at positions 524 to 776 of the family's 1533-position model. The record is from RNAcentral.